CAGAUUUGUCAUGGAAAAGUGAUUGAUCAAACAAUAAGAGUUGAAGGUAAUUAGGAUACAUUAAUAUCUGGGAAUUCUCUGAAUCAUACAAUUUAAGGAUAGAACGACAUUGUUCCAAUAUUACACCGCAAUAUACCCCCAUGCAUUUAUACAGUUGAAUCGUAAAUUGCGCGAGAAGAAUUAAAUAAGGUGAGAAAAAACGAUAUGGCUCUUCAGGCCACUCGGGAACAAUUGCCUCCGAACAAAACAAGUCCUGAGAGUUUCAACUUCACCACACAAUACUAUGGCAAACCCCGCUCGUCUCGCAAAGUUAACAGGCCAAACUUCAGCGCAGCAAAAAGCACGACUUCUACAUAAGAAAACAAAAAAUAAUCUCAAUUCUGAAUUUGAGGCGAAUUUAAUCAGUCCAAAGCAGCCAACAAUUUACAAAUUAGUGAUAUUUUUUCCCUCAAAGCACAUGAUAACAUAUGAGGAUCACAUAACUGUCCAAAUUGGAAUAGACAAAAAGAAUAUGGUAGACAAAUUUACAAGGUCAUGUCUGCCAAUGAUUAUGGGGAUGCAUCCCACAAACGAGUAACUGUCACGGGUCCUAAAUAGCAUUCAUAGCAUACACAAGUUAGCAGUAAAAUCAGUAUUCAAGGGCAAUCGAUGGCAUUGAAACUAAGCCUUGUUGCUAAUAAAUAUGAGACCAGCACCAUUCUGUUGAGUUCAGUGCUAGCUCUACUACAAAAUCCAAAGAAACUUAGCUACUUGCCAACCAUAACAGACCAUCUGAAUUUUGACAACUCUUCUAGCAUGUUCCACCACUCAACGACAAUUGUGAUAAGAAGAGAUGACCAGGAAGAAAACCAUUGAAGCAAGCAAUAUAUAAGUAGGAGGAAAGGACUAUUUGGUGACUGAAAAUUUUUAUCUAACUGGUCAAUGACUUGACCGAGGUGUCAUGCAACUGCUGAUACUAUGUACCCUAUCCAGUUAGUGCUCGAAUCACUUAUGUUCAAUAAGUUAAAAGUAUCUAAUAAUUCUUCCGAAUCACUUCAACUAACCCAAAGCUACUAAUUUUAUCAUCCAACUAUUAAUACAAGCUUCAGAAAUAUCCUUUUACAGUAUUAAGCAUUAUCGUGAAAAUUUCAAAAUACUUAGAUAGAUGCAAUAACUAUAUACAGUAAUCAUCAUUAUAUAUUAUAUAGUGUUUGUUUGGGAAAGACUAUUUGAACUGAAAAAUAUCUUUCUUGAGACGUGUCAUUAAAAAGCAUGGUAGAGUUAUGAAUCCACGUGCAAAAUUAUUUUAUUGGGAGUACGUGGAGUUGCAAUGAGUUUGAGGAAAAAAUGAUUUUCAAAUAAGUUGUGCUAAACAAACGCUAGUUGAAAGGUUAAGACCAUACUGCAUACCAGAUAUAAUAAACUUCAAACAAACUAAAUGCAUGAUGCCACUGUUGUGUUAAGUAUUUAUACGAAAUAAAGAGCAGCAUGCCUCCAAUUCAAAUAUGCAUUUUCUCUAAUUAUAAAAAAUUAUGAGUUCCUUGUUCAACCUUAUGAUUACAUCAGCCUCCUUUACCCAUGAAUCUAAACUUAAACUGGGGUUGAAAUCACCAAGGAUCUAGGCAGAAUGAAAAGUAGGAUCCCAUUAGCCUCCUUUACCCAAGAAUCCUAGAUUACAUGCCCCAACAGUCGAUUGAUUUGAGCAGAAAGAAUAUUUAAUCAAAUUACUCAAACUUGCUAAAUGGUCAAACAAAUGUAAUUCGCACCAGUAAACUAAAAUAGACAGAACCCAUGAAAUAAUUCACAGUACCCAAGAUUGCAACAAAUAUAUCCCCCAUUUGGCCCCUAUUAA
This 1831-nucleotide long non-coding RNA is filed under the name Olea europaea (common olive). RNAcentral describes it as "long non-coding RNA (OEUR_LNC010705)". Lineage: Eukaryota; Viridiplantae; Streptophyta; Magnoliopsida; Lamiales; Oleaceae. The record is from RNAcentral.